This 252-nucleotide ribosomal RNA is filed under the name uncultured Bacteroidales bacterium. RNAcentral's name for it is "partial 16S ribosomal RNA". It matches the Rfam family "Bacterial small subunit ribosomal RNA", at positions 524 to 776 of the family's 1533-position model. Lineage: Bacteria; Pseudomonadati; Bacteroidota; Bacteroidia; Bacteroidales. The record is from RNAcentral.
UACGGAGGAUGCGAGCGUUAUCCGGAUUUAUUGGGUUUAAAGGGUGCGUAGGCGGCGAGUUAAGUCAGCGGUAAAAGCCCGGGGCUCAACCCCGGCCCGCCGUUGAAACUGGCUGGCUUGAGUUGGGGAAAGGCAGGCGGAAUGCGCGGUGUAGCGGUGAAAUGCAUAGAUAUCACGAAGAACUCCGAUUGCGAAGGCAGCUUACCAGUCUGCGACUGACGCUCAGGCACGAAAGUGUGGGUAUCGAACAGG